Molecule: long non-coding RNA, 582 nt
Filed under: Lupinus angustifolius (narrow-leaved blue lupine)
Lineage: Eukaryota; Viridiplantae; Streptophyta; Magnoliopsida; Fabales; Fabaceae
Description: long non-coding RNA (LANG_LNC000079)
Source: RNAcentral
CAUAUUUUUUCAAUUCAUUUAUGUACAUUAUAAAUUCUUGUUUGUCUUUCUCUAUCCAAAGAUAAAGCUUACAAUUUAUUCUUUGCUAUAAUCAUUCAAUUCUAUUUUUGCUAUGGGAUUAUAUUUUCCCAAUGAGCCAGUGGGUUUUCAAUGUAGUUGUCUUCUAAUCUUUUUUCUAUUGUCUUUUGGAUUCCCAUGGUAGAUAUAGUUGCUAGGUGCUAUUUUAUCUUCAUAUGCUUAUUGUUUGGUAAAAAUUGAACUUCUUAUGUAUUAUGUUUCUUUUGGAAUUUCUCAUCCUUUCUCCUAUAAGGCCUAGUUAUUCUUAUAGCAAAAUCCAUAUGUUUACAUGGUGUGGUUAAUGUUAUUACUUUAGUAUUUAUUUCUAAUAGCAUGCAAUUUUGUUGGAAAUCUAAUCCCAACAAUAUAUCACAUGUGUUCUCAUUAAAUUGGUAUAGCAUAUUGAUCUUUAGUUUCUAUUGUCCUAUCUGAAUAGGUAUAUUUGUAGCUCCUAAUUCCGUAAUAUGUAUUUCUUGUCCUGAUGUAUUCAUCCUUAAUGAGGUUUUUCAUAUUUUUCCAUAAUUU